RNAcentral lists this ribosomal RNA (379 nucleotides) under uncultured bacterium. RNAcentral's name for it is "bacterial SSU rRNA". It matches the Rfam family "Bacterial small subunit ribosomal RNA", at positions 28 to 407 of the family's 1533-position model. The record is from RNAcentral.
GACGAACGCUGGCGGCGUGCUUAACACAUGCAAGUCGAGCGGUAAGGCCCUUUCGGGGGUACGACGAGCGGCGAACGGGUGAGUAACACGUGGGUGACCUGCCCUUACGCUCUGGGAUAAGCCUGGGAAACUGGGUCUAAUACCGGAUAUGACUCCAUGACGCAUGUUGUGGGGUGGAAAGCCUUGUGCGGCUAGGGAUGGGCCUGCGGCCUAUCAGCUUGUUGGUGGGGUGAGGCCUACCAAGGCGACGACGGGUAGCCGGCCUGAGAGGGCGACCGGCCACACUGGGACUGAGACACGGCCCAGACUCCUACGGGAGGCAGCAGUGGGGAAUCUUGCGCAAUGGGCGAAAGCCUGACGCAGCGACGCCGCGUGGGGA